GUCGAACGCGUCUUGGUUAUUGAUGUUGGAUGCUUGCAUUUAACUGAUUUAACAUUGAGACGAGUGGCGAACUGGUGAGUAACACGUGGGUAACCUGCCCUUGAAGUAGGGGAUAACACUUGGAAACAGGUGCUAAUACCGUAUAACAACCAAAACCACCUGGUUUUGGUUUAAAAGAUGGCUUCGGCUAUCACUUUAGGAUGGACCCGCGGCGUAUUAGCUUGUUGGUAAGGUAACGGCCUACCAAGGCAAUGAUACGUAGCCGACCUGAGAGGGUAAUCGGCCACAUUGGGACUGAGACACGGCCCAAACUCCUACGGGAGGCAGCAGUAGGGAAUCUUCCACAAUGGACGAAAGUCUGAUGGAGCAACGCCGCGUGAGUGAUGAAGGGUUUCGGCUCGUAAAACUCUGUUGUUGGAGAAGAACAGGUGUGAGAGUAACUGUUCACAUCUUGACGGUAUCCAACCAGAAAGCCACGGCUAACUACGUGCCAGCAGCCGCGGUAAUACGUAGGUGGCAAGCGUUGUCCGGAUUUAUUGGGCGUAAAGCGAGCGCAGGCGGUUUCUUAGGUCUGAUGUGAAAGCCUUCGGCUUAACCGGAGAAGUGCAUCGGAAACCAGGAGACUUGAGUGCAGAAGAGGACAGUGGAACUCCAUGUGUAGCGGUGAAAUGCGUAGAUAUAUGGAAGAACACCAGUGGCGAAGGCGGCUGUCUGGUCUGUAACUGACGCUGAGGCUCGAAAGCAUGGGUAGCGAACAGGAUUAGAUACCCUGGUAGUCCAUGCCGUAAACGAUGAGUGCUAAGUGUUGGAGGGUUUCCGCCCUUCAGUGCUGCAGCUAACGCAUUAAGCACUCCGCCUGGGGAGUACGACCGCAAGGU
Molecule: ribosomal RNA, 878 nt
Filed under: uncultured bacterium
Lineage: Bacteria
Description: bacterial SSU rRNA
Rfam family: Bacterial small subunit ribosomal RNA
Source: RNAcentral